UAAAAUGAGAGUUUGAUCCUGGCUCAGGACGAACGCUGGCGGCGUGCCUAAUACAUGCAAGUCGAGCGAGCGGAACUAACAGAUUUACUUCGGUAAUGACGUUAGGAAAGCGAGCGGCGGAUGGGUGAGUAACACGUGGGGAACCUGCCCCAUAGUCUGGGAUACCACUUGGAAACAGGUGCUAAUACCGGAUAAGAAAGCAGAUCGCAUGAUCAGCUUUUAAAAGGCGGCGUAAGCUGUCGCUAUGGGAUGGCCCCGCGGUGCAUUAGCUAGUUGGUAAGGUAAAGGCUUACCAAGGCGAUGAUGCAUAGCCGAGUUGAGAGACUGAUCGGCCACAUUGGGACUGAGACACGGCCCAAACUCCUACGGGAGGCAGCAGUAGGGAAUCUUCCACAAUGGACGCAAGUCUGAUGGAGCAACGCCGCGUGAGUGAAGAAGGUUUUCGGAUCGUAAAGCUCUGUUGUUGGUGAAGAAGGAUAGAGGUAGUAACUGGCCUUUAUUUGACGGUAAUCAACCAGAAAGUCACGGCUAACUACGUGCCAGCAGCCGCGGUAAUACGUAGGUGGCAAGCGUUGCCCGGAUUUAUUGGGCGUAAAGCGAGCGCAGGCGGAAGAAUAAGUCUGAUGUGAAAGCCCUCGGCUUAACCGAGGAACUGCAUCGGAAACUGUUUUUCUUGAGUGCAGAAGAGGAGAGUGGAACUCCAUGUGUAGCGGUGGAAUGCGUAGAUAUAUGGAAGAACACCAGUGGCGAAGGCGGCUCUCUGGUCUGCAACUGACGCUGAGGCUCGAAAGCAUGGGUAGCGAACAGGAUUAGAUACCCUGGUAGUCCAUGCCGUAAACGAUGAGUGCUAAGUGUUGGGAGGUUUCCGCCUCUCAGUGCUGCAGCUAACGCAUUAAGCACUCCGCCUGGGGAGUACGACCGCAAGGUUGAAACUCAAAGGAAUUGACGGGGGCCCGCACAAGCGGUGGAGCAUGUGGUUUAAUUCGAAGCAACGCGAAGAACCUUACCAGGUCUUGACAUCUAGUGCCAUUUGUAGAGAUACAAAGUUCCCUUCGGGGACGCUAAGACAGGUGGUGCAUGGCUGUCGUCAGCUCGUGUCGUGAGAUGUUGGGUUAAGUCCCGCAACGAGCGCAACCCUUGUUAUUAGUUGCCAGCAUUAAGUUGGGCACUCUAAUGAGACUGCCGGUGACAAACCGGAGGAAGGUGGGGAUGACGUCAAGUCAUCAUGCCCCUUAUGACCUGGGCUACACACGUGCUACAAUGGGCAGUACAACGAGAAGCGAGCCUGCGAAGGCAAGCGAAUCUCUGAAAGCUGUUCUCAGUUCGGACUGCAGUCUGCAACUCGACUGCACGAAGCUGGAAUCGCUAGUAAUCGCGGAUCAGCACGCCGCGGUGAAUACGUUCCCGGGCCUUGUACACACCGCCCGUCACACCAUGGGAGUCUGCAAUGCCCAAAGCCGGUGGCCUAACCUUCGGGAAGGAGCCGUCUAAGGCAGGGCAGAUGACUGGGGUGAAGUCGUAACAAGGUAGCCGUAGGAGAACCUGCGGCUGGAUCACCUCCUUU
This 1564-nucleotide ribosomal RNA is filed under the name Lactobacillus crispatus. RNAcentral describes it as "bacterial SSU rRNA". It matches the Rfam family "Bacterial small subunit ribosomal RNA". The record is from RNAcentral. Lineage: Bacteria; Bacillati; Bacillota; Bacilli; Lactobacillales; Lactobacillaceae.